GAUGAACGCUGGCGGCGUGCCUAAUACAUGCAAGUCGAGCGAACGGACGAGAAGCUUGCUUCUCUGAUGUUAGCGGCGGACGGGUGAGUAACACGUGGAUAACCUACCUAUAAGACUGGGAUAACUUCGGGAAACCGGCGCUAAUACCGGAUAAUAUUUUGAACCGCAUGGUUCAAAAGUGAAAGACGGUCUUGCUGUCACUUAUAGAUGGAUCCGCGCUGCAUUAGCUAGUUGGUAAGGUAACGGCUUACCAAGGCAACGAUGCAUAGCCGACCUGAGAGAGUGAUCGGCCACACUGGAACGGAGACACGGUCCAGGCUCCUACGGGAGGCAGCAGUAGGGAAUCUUCCGCAAUGGGCGAAAGCCUGACGGAGCAACGCCGCGUGAGAGAUGAAGGUCUUCGGAUCGUAAAACUCUGUUAUUAGUGAAGAACAUAUUUGUAAGUAACUGUGCAGAUCGUGACGGUACCUAAUCAGAAAGCCACGGCUAACUACGUG
RNAcentral lists this ribosomal RNA (497 nucleotides) under uncultured bacterium. Its description in RNAcentral is "partial 16S ribosomal RNA". It matches the Rfam family "Bacterial small subunit ribosomal RNA", at positions 28 to 507 of the family's 1533-position model. The record is from RNAcentral.